GAUCAUGGCUCAGGACGAACGCUGGCGGCGUGCCUAAUACAUGCAAGUAGAACGCACAGUUUAUACCGUAGCUUGCUACACCAUAGACUGUGAGUUGCGAACGGGUGAGUAACGCGUAGGUAACCUGCCUGGUAGCGGGGGAUAACUAUUGGAAACGAUAGCUAAUACCGCAUAAUAUUGAUUAUUGCAUGAUAAUUUGAUUAAAAGGUGCAACUGCACCACUACCAGAUGG
Molecule: ribosomal RNA, 232 nt
Filed under: uncultured bacterium
Lineage: Bacteria
Description: partial 16S ribosomal RNA
Rfam family: Bacterial small subunit ribosomal RNA
Source: RNAcentral